Molecule: non-coding RNA, 26 nt
Filed under: Mus musculus (house mouse)
Lineage: Eukaryota; Metazoa; Chordata; Mammalia; Rodentia; Muridae
Source: RNAcentral
UGAGGUCCUAGAUGACCCUUUGGAGG